RNA transcript from Triticum dicoccoides, 3570 nucleotides. RefSeq lists it as uncharacterized. The record is from RefSeq and is a predicted model, not a curated record. NCBI's taxonomy places the organism in Eukaryota, Viridiplantae, Streptophyta, Magnoliopsida, Poales, Poaceae. The transcript is spliced from 3 exons.
GAGAGCGCACGAGAGCCAAAAUACUUCGCUCCAGAGACUUAGCGGCCGCCCCAGAUCUAGCCCAAAUCACCAUCUGCUCCAACCCUAGCCGCCGCCAACACGAGACGACGCCGAGCACCCACCACUGCCCGACCCCAGCCGCCCCUGACCACCCAUCGCAGCAGCUGUCCUCUCGGACCACCGCCGCCGCCGAGCACCCUCCUCCGUCGCCGUCAAGUACCCUCCUACACAGAUCUCGUCCGCGCUCCACCCAUCCCCAGCGCCGCCCAUCCCCAGCGCCGCCCAGAUGUCGCCUCUCCUUCCAUGCUUUCUCCCCGGGCAGCACUGUCUCUCCUAGGGUUUGCGCCACCGACCAUCCUAGUCGCCCCCCUCCCGUGCGUGCUCACCUCGACGUCAUGCUCUCCAGCCUAUCGUCCUUCGUCCGUGCUCCUCCGACCUCCCCCUUUUGUACUUCGAGCGUGAGGUAUGGUCCUGGUGCUUCCCGUUCUCUUGUAUUCUUUACUGUUCUUUCAAUUUUUCCAAUGAUCUGUAACACACAUGAGCACAUCUGCCAAAUCUUCUUCCUCUGCUUUGAGGAAAAUAGCAGAGCACUCUGAUGGAAGAACGUAUCUGGGACAGUCAGCCUCAGCCAGUGAAGACUAUAGCUCUAGGAAUAGUUGCCGCAUUGUUUUACUGGUAAAUACUUGUGACAAAGUGCUAUUUUCAGCUGUAAACAUUCAGCCUACACUAUGUACUGCAUGUUUUACUAAUAAUUGCUGCCUGGUAUCUUGUCUGACCUGAAACAUAUGGUCACUUUAGUAAUAGCAACAUCAAAGUAGAAAUUGGGUUGGGCAAGGAAUUCAUGAUUCUGGCCCAACUUUUGUUAGAUGUGUAAAUUGAAAAAUGUUUGUCAACUAUGAUUAUUUUGUUUCAAAUAAUAACACGUAAAAACCUUGUUUUGUUUGCAUGUUAUGGUUUAGGAGGUUGAACAGAAUAUUAAGACGCAUAAUAAGUACCUGUCUUAUUUGCUCAUGAAAAUGUUUGAUCUUAACAUAGGAGCAUGAUCUGACCCCAUGCGUAUGUUAGCAGUCUGGUUUUCAUGCCUUUUGUGAAUGCAAAGUGGCACUUGAUGCAUAGCUAGUGUCAAAAGACCUUCAUAAUUUGGACUGCUAAUUCUCGUGGAUUAUCUAUCUGUUUGUUUGAAACUGCUGUGCAUUGCCAACAUAUUUCUUCCAGCAAUUUUGCAGUUGGAUUCCUUUCUUUCCAAGUUUAAUUGUGUCAUUCUUGUAAUUUCUUUACUGUGCUAUGCAAAAUGAACCAUCUUUUGGUGGUGCUUGAGUCAUGGGCAUAGAUGCAUCUAACCAAAUAAUGCUUGCUUCUGGGAAGGCACCUAGUGUAGGUGGAGAACAUGUUCUAAGAAAGCGGCUCCAAAAAGAUUUUUCCGCUUCUACUAUGGGACCUUGCAUGUGGGAUGAUGAGGGCAAUCAAAGCAGUCUACUGGGAGUCGUUUGCUAGGCUUUCUCCAAUCAAAAAGGCUGAGGAGGAGAAGUAGCUAAAUAGAAUUAGACUUUAUCUUGUGAAAAGGCUGAGGAGGAGAAGCAGCUAAGCAAUAGUUCGCUUUCCCUAGUUGAAAAGGUUGAGCUGAACUAGACUUUUCAAGCUUUAGUGCAUUGAGCUGGCAGCAGCAAGCUUCUAGGUAGCUAUCUCACAUUCGCGUACAACUGCAAUAGGCAGUUUGUAAUCCCCUAUUAAAGGAGCCGUGCUCCUCCAUUGUAAAUCAGGGCCAUUUCAUUUCUAUCCAGCCAAGCCUCAAGUGUAGUACUACUAAAUAUACGUGUAUGUGUUUUGCUAGAAUGCUUAAGCAUAAAUAGUUAGUACUUCCUCCGUCCGGAAAUACUUGUCAUCAAAAUGGAUAAAAGGGGAUGUAUCUAGACAUAUUUUAGUUCUAGAUACAUCUCUUUUUAUCCAUUUUGAUGACAAGUAUUUUCGGACGGAGGGAGUAGCACACAACUGCUACUGUGUGAGUUCCUCUGUUCUUGUGUGUUGCCGCAGCAAGUGUGCAGCUGGCUGCUAUUUAGUCCUCUGCUAGAUUGUACAAGACAGAGAGCUAGUUACUCGCCAGUAGUUUUGGUCUAACAUUUUCUUUAGUUGGCAUCCUUCAAGGACCAUCCUUAUUAGUUACUUACAGCAAUUUUGUUGAUUAUGGAUUAUGGAUCAUCAUCAGACGGCCAUGCACAUGCAUAGAACCCACAUUUUUUUCUAGCUAGCUAGUUUCUACUCCCUUUGUCCCAUAAUGUAAGAUGUUUUUUGAUACUACACUAGUGUUAAAAAGAUGUCUUACAUUAUGGGACGGAGGGAGUAGUUGUUACUGUUUGCAGGCGUAAGAAAUGAGAACGGCACUGAAUAGCCAUGCUCAAGGCUUUUUACGUUACCAAAGAGGACGCCCCUCUACGGGGAAUCUCCAGCGGCGACAGUUAUACACUGACUGGAUUGUUGUUAUACACUGCCUGAAUAGCCUUGUUUUUAUGUUGCUACACACUGCCUGAAUUGUUAAAGGCCUUGAUUGACUUUCAUUGAUUGCUAUAAUAAUGAAAAACUGUCCAGAAGCAGGACUAGUCUGUUUCUUUGAUUAUAAAUAAUCAACAAUUGGUAAGUUUGUCUAGCUUAAUUGUUUCUGAAAUUUGCACAACACGUCAGGUAGAUAUAUGGUGGAAAGGUGAAGGGCACAUGUACACAUAUUUUGUUGUAUCAGUGGCUGGCUGUUCAAGCUCAUGUGAUUUAGUUUAAAAUACUGCUGUAAAUAUUGCAUCUGUGAUACGUCUCGUGAUUUUGCAAAUACUGUAUAAUAUUAUGGUUUUCACAAACUCUGGUAUUUUGUAGCUAGAGGUUUAGAAACUGUAGUUUUCGAAUACUACAAUUUUACAUAUACUACUAUGCACCCAAACAGAGCCUUUUAAAAACUGAGCAGGACUAUUGAUGUCUGGAUAGAAGUCCUUGCUGAAAAAUGCUUGGCCUGGAGCCUCCUUGCAAAGUGCCUGGACUAUGUUUAGUUGAUGUCCUGAAGAAAUGUCUAUUGACUUCUGCUAUUUGCAUUAGAACACUUGUCCUUAUGUGAUAUAAAGAUUGCAUUUUUAUUGUGCUGUCUUGUGCUUCCAUCACUAGUUGCAUGUUUAUGAUACAGCAGGUUUAUCGUUCUAUGAGAGCUCCAUUUUGAGUUUCCGGUCUGUUGCAGGUUUUCAAAGACACACAAGUUGAUGGAGGUUUGCAAGAUCUACAUACAAGCGGUUGACGGUUUGGAAGUUCUACAGCGGCUGAAGGUUUGGAGGACAUACAAUUAAGUUGGUGUAGUGAUAAUGUAGUGCACCUAGUUUGUUGAACCUGGAGACAUUGGCAAGUUCUGCUUAUUUUGGUGGUUGUUUUGGUACACAAGCCAUUGGAUGCUCAUUUUGGUUGUGUGGCACAUCUAGAAACAUACGUACUUUUUUGUGCCAGCACAAGUCCUUAUGUAUGGUUGUUUCCUAUAUGUAUGUAUCCAGAAACAUAUGUAUCUGGCAUGUUAUGUUUAUAUUGAAGGAAGUUUAAGGUUUUUAA